UAUGGUCUUGUCUAUUGAUAAGACAGAAA
This 29-nucleotide non-coding RNA is filed under the name Rattus norvegicus (Norway rat). Lineage: Eukaryota; Metazoa; Chordata; Mammalia; Rodentia; Muridae. The record is from RNAcentral.